UACGUAGGGACCAAGCGUUGUUCGGAUUUACUGGGCGUAAAGGGCGCGUAGGCGGCGUGACAAGUCACUUGUGAAAUCUCCGGGCUUAACUCGGAACGGUCAAGUGAUACUGUUUGUGCUAGAGUACAGAAAGGGGGCAAAUCGGAAAUUCUUUGGUGUAGCGGUGAAAUGCGUAGAUAUCAAGAGGAACACCAGAGGCGAAGGCGGAUUGCUGGGCUGAUACUGACGCUGAGGCGCGAAAAGCUAGGGGUAGCAAAACGGGG
RNAcentral lists this ribosomal RNA (263 nucleotides) under uncultured bacterium. RNAcentral's name for it is "partial 16S ribosomal RNA". It matches the Rfam family "Bacterial small subunit ribosomal RNA", at positions 524 to 778 of the family's 1533-position model. The record is from RNAcentral.